CACGGGGGGAGCAAGCGUUGUUCGGAUUCAUUGGGCGUAAAGGGCUCGUAGGUGGCUUUGUAAGUCGGAGGUGAAAUCCCACGGCUCAACCGUGGACACGCCUUCGAAACUGUGAAGCUUGAGGCUGGGAGAGGAGAUCGGAAUUCCUGGUGUAGCGGUGAAAUGCGUAGAUAUCUGGAGGAACACCGGUGGCGAAGGCGGCAUCCUGGACCGGCAUUGACGCUGAGGCGCGAAAGCCAGGGGAGCAAACGGG
Molecule: ribosomal RNA, 253 nt
Filed under: uncultured bacterium
Lineage: Bacteria
Description: partial 16S ribosomal RNA
Rfam family: Bacterial small subunit ribosomal RNA
Source: RNAcentral